Molecule: ribosomal RNA, 329 nt
Filed under: uncultured eukaryote
Lineage: Eukaryota
Description: partial 18S ribosomal RNA
Rfam family: Eukaryotic small subunit ribosomal RNA
Source: RNAcentral
CCCUUAGAUGUUCUGGGCCGCACGCGCGCUACACUGAUGCAUUCAACGAGUCUAAAACCUGCUCUGAUAGGGGUGGGUAAUCUUUUGAAUGUGCAUCGUGAUUGGGAUAGAUGAUUGCAAUUUUUCAUCUUCAACGAGGAAUGCCUAGUAAACGCAAGUCAUCAGCUUGCAUUGAUUACGUCCCUGCCCUUUGUACACACCGCCCGUCGCUCCUACCGAUUGAAUGAUCCGAUGAAUAUCAUGGAUUGAGGAUGCAAGCAGGUUCGCCUGUCUUCAUCUUCGAGAAGUGAAGUAAAUCUUAUCAUUUAGAGGAGGGAGAAGUCGUAACA